RNAcentral lists this transfer RNA (61 nucleotides) under Heterocephalus glaber (naked mole-rat). It matches the Rfam family "tRNA", at positions 6 to 65 of the family's 71-position model. Rfam says of the family: Transfer RNA (tRNA) molecules are approximately 80 nucleotides in length. Their secondary structure includes four short double-helical elements and three loops (D, anti-codon, and T loops). Lineage: Eukaryota; Metazoa; Chordata; Mammalia; Rodentia; Bathyergidae. The record is from Rfam by way of RNAcentral.
UGUAGCUCAGUGGUAGGGCACUUGCCUGGCACUCACAAGGCUCUGGGUUUGAUUCCCAGCA